GUGUCUUUCUGGCAGGGGAGACACUGUGAUCACCAAGGCAGUUCUCCCAGGGCGAGGCUCACCCAUUGCACUCCGGGUGUGCUGACCCGGGGGGGCAGAGUCAAUUACAAAGUAAACAUAAUAAAAAAUGAGAAUUUUGUGUUCUAAUCACAGUGGUAUUGUGCACAUUUCACUU
Molecule: small nuclear RNA, 175 nt
Filed under: Leptobrachium leishanense (Leishan spiny toad)
Lineage: Eukaryota; Metazoa; Chordata; Amphibia; Anura; Megophryidae
Description: U1 spliceosomal RNA (ENSLLEG00000008108.1)
Rfam family: U1 spliceosomal RNA
About the family: U1 is a small nuclear RNA (snRNA) component of the spliceosome (involved in pre-mRNA splicing).
Source: RNAcentral